CCUGAGUACGACGGAGCACGUGAAAUUCCGUCGGAAUCUGGGAGGACCAUCUCCUAAGGCUAAAUACUCUCUAGUGACCGAUAGUGAACCAGUACCGUGAGGGAAAGGUGAAAAGUACCCCGGAAGGGGAGUGAAAGAGAACUUGAAACCGUGUGCUUACAAGUAGUCAGAGCCCGUUAAUGGGUGAUGGCGUGCCUUUUGUAGAAUGAACCGGCGAGUUACGAUCUGAUGCAAGGUUAAGCAGAAAAUGUGGAGCCGUAGCGAAAGCGAGUCUGAAUAGGGCGAAUGAGUAUUUGGUCGUAGACCCGAAACCAGGUGAUCUACCCUUGGUCAGGUUGAAGUUCAGGUAACACUGAAUGGAGGACCGAACCGACUUACGUUGAAAAGUGAGCGGAUGAACUGAGGGUAGCGGAGAAAUUCCAAUCGAACUUGGAGAUAGCUGGUUCUCUCCGAAAUAGCUUUAGGGCUAGCCUCAAGUGAUGAUUAUUGGAGGUAGAGCACUGUUUGGACGAGGGGCCCCUCUCGGGUUACCGAAUUCAGACAAACUCCGAAUGCCAAAUAAUUUAACUUGGGAGUCAGAAUGUGGGUGAUAAGGUCCAUAUUCGAAAGGGAAACAGCCCAGACCACCAGCUAAGGUCCCAAAAUAUAUGUUAAGUGGAAAAGGAUGUGGCGUUGCCCAGACAACUAGGAUGUUGGCUUAGAAGCAGCCAUCAUUUAAAGAGUGCGUAAUAGCUCACUAGUCGAGUGACACUGCGCCGAAAAUGUACCGGGGCUAAACAUAUUACCGAAGCUGUGGAUUGUCCUUUGGACAAUGGUAGGAGAGCGUUCUAAGGGCGUUGAAGCAUGAUCGCAAGGACAUGUGGAGCGCUUAGAAGUGAGAAUGCCGGUGUGAGUAGCGAAAGACGGGUGAGAAUCCCGUCCACCGAUUGACUAAGGUUUCCAGAGGAAGGCUCGUCCGCUCUGGGUUAGUCGGGUCCUAAGCUGAGGCCGACAGGCGUAGGCGAUGGAUAACAGGUUGAUAUUCCUGUACCACCAUUAUUCGUUUUAAGCGAUGGGGGGACGCAGUAGGAUAGGCGAAGCGUGCUGUUGGAGUGCACGUCCAAGCAGUGAGAUUGAGUGUUAGGCAAAUCCGGCACUCUUAAGAUUGAGCUGUGAUGGGGAGAGGAACUUGUUCCUCGAGUCGUUGAUUUCACACUGCCGAGAAAAGCCUCUAGCUAGAAUAACGGUGCCCGUACCGCAAACCGACACAGGUAGUCAAGAUGAGAAUUCUAAGGUGAGCGAGCGAACUCUCGUUAAGGAACUCGGCAAAAUGACCCCGUAACUUCGGGAGAAGGGGUGCUCUUUGAGGUUCACGCUUCGAAGAGCCGCAGUGAAUAGGCCCAAGCGACUGUUUAUCAAAAACACAGGUCUCUGCUAAACCGUAAGGUGACGUAUAGGGGCUGACGCCUGCCCGGUGCUGGAAGGUUAAGAGGAGUGGUUAGCGCAAGCGAAGCUACGAAUCGAAGCCCCAGUAAACGGCGGCCGUAACUAUAACGGUCCUAAGGUAGCGAAAUUCCUUGUCGGGUAAGUUCCGACCCGCACGAAAGGCGUAACGAUUUGGGCACUGUCUCAACGAGAGACUCGGUGAAAUCAUAGUACCGGUGAAGAUGCCGGUUACCCGCGACAGGACGGAAAGACCCCGUGGAGCUUUACUGUAGCCUGAUAUUGAAAUUCGGUACAGUUUGUACAGGAUAGGUAGGAGCCUUAGAAGCGUGAGCGCUAGCUUACGUGGAGGCAUUGGUGGGAUACUACCCUAAUUGUAUUGGAUUUCUAACCCGCAGCACUUAUCGUGCUGGGAGACAGUGUCAGGCGGGCAGUUUGACUGGGGCGGUCGCCUCCUAAAGAGUAACGGAGGCGCUCAAAGGUUCCCUCAGAAUGGUUGGAAAUCAUUCAUAGAGUGUAAAGGCAUAAGGGAGCUUGACUGCGAGACCUACAAGUCGAGCAGGGUCGAAAGACGGACUUAGUGAUCCGGUGGUUCCGCAUGGAAGGGCCAUCGCUCAACGGAUAAAAGCUACCCCGGGGAUAACAGGCUUAUCUCCCCCAAGAGUUCACAUCGACGGGGAGGUUUGGCACCUCGAUGUCGGCUCAUCGCAUCCUGGGGCUGUAGUCGGUCCCAAGGGUUGGGCUGUUCGCCCAUUAAAGCGGUACGCGAGCUGGGUUCAGAACGUCGUGAGACAGUUCGGUCCCUAUCCGUCGUGGGCGUAGGAAAUUUGAGAGGAGCUGUCCUUAGUACGAGAGGACCGGGAUGGACAUACCUCUGGUGUACCAGUUGUCGUGCCAACGGCAUAGCUGGGUAGCUAUGUAUGGACGGGAUAAGUGCUGAAAGCAUCUAAGCAUGAAGCCCCCCU
Molecule: ribosomal RNA, 2387 nt
Filed under: Staphylococcus pseudintermedius
Lineage: Bacteria; Bacillati; Bacillota; Bacilli; Caryophanales; Staphylococcaceae
Description: partial 23S ribosomal RNA
Rfam family: Bacterial large subunit ribosomal RNA
Source: RNAcentral